RNAcentral lists this long non-coding RNA (1171 nucleotides) under Olea europaea subsp. europaea. Lineage: Eukaryota; Viridiplantae; Streptophyta; Magnoliopsida; Lamiales; Oleaceae. The record is from RNAcentral.
AAAAUAUCUCGCACUAAAAUCCCACGCGAAAUCCCUCAAAACACCAGAUCGACGAAAAUCUCAAAUCUUGCUUCAAAAACAUUCAAAUCUGAAUUAAAAUCAGCAGAAAAUUCAGAAAGGAUGGGAUUGAUUAAGAGCUGCUUUUCGUUCAUGAUGGGCACAGCCUUCGGAGUUUACGUAGCCCAGAAUUACAACGUCCCCAAUGUCCAGAAGCUGUUCAACACUGGCCUCUUGAUCGCCAAGCACAUUGAAGAAAAUUACCGCAAGCCUAAAAAGCGCGACGUUGAUGAAUAGCACCACAAAAGAAGCCGCCUUCCACCCGUUAGUUGUUUUUAGUGUUUCGUUUUACAGGGAUUUAUGUGAAAGAAAAUUAAUGAAGGUCUUUUUUCUUUUUUUAAAUUUGAGAUUGGGAAUUCAAUAACUUGAUGAGCAUUUAUUGUGAAUUUUUAUUAAUAGUAUUAUUUAUUGGAUUAAUCGCGUACAUUUGAAUUUUUUGUUUUAUGAUUGUGCUGAUUAUUGAACAUGAGCAAUAAAUUGGUAGGCUAUGAUGUAUUUAUUAGAAUUUAAAUUUUUAUAACCUUUGUUAAUGUGUUAGGGAAGAAGAAUCUAUACUUGCUCCUCCAUAUUUGGAAAAGGGAUCAUUCGUAUUUUAGUUCAAUGGUUUCAGAGUGCUGGAAGAAUCGUGCUAACCUGGGUUGUAAUAUUUUUAGAAUAUGUAAGGACGGUAGUGUGAAGGCGAGAUUUAAUUUUGUAAAAAGGGGAUGGUGUCAACAUUUCUUGAUUCUCCUCAGGACAAUAUGUGCAGACAAGCUCAAUUAAAGAUGAGCCAUUUUUGAAGGCUAGUGGAGCCCUUUUCUGCACCUGCUAGUAUGAUUAGCUUUUUACAAUAUUGCUACACAAUUUUUAGAAGUUUGUUAAUCAUUUUUUCCCUAUGUAGUGUCGGCUUUACUGACAAAAUAUUGCUGGAAACUGUUGUAAUUGAUGCAGCAUAGUCAUUGUUAAUCUGAAUGCCUCUUACGACAAACCAAAGCAUGUCUUUCUGAUAUGAUAGUCAUGAAUUCGUGGAAUUUGUUCUUGAAAAGAUUUGACUACCUAGGAGCCUUGUGCAUUUGUUGAAUUUGACCCUAGAAAAAUAUUUGCCACCGAGAGUGAAAGUCAGUUGCUGUAUAUA